Molecule: ribosomal RNA, 253 nt
Filed under: uncultured bacterium
Lineage: Bacteria
Description: partial 16S ribosomal RNA
Rfam family: Bacterial small subunit ribosomal RNA
Source: RNAcentral
UACAGAGGUCUCAAGCGUUGUUCGGAUUCAUUGGGCGUAAAGGGUGCGUAGGCGGCGAGGUAAGUCGGAUGUGAAAUCCCGGGGCUCAACCCUGGAACUGCAUUCGAUACUGCCUUGCUUGAGUACUGGAGAGGAGACUGGAAUUUACGGUGUAGCAGUGAAAUGCGUAGAUAUCGUAAGGAAGACCAGUGGCGAAGGCGAGUCUCUGGACAGUUACUGACGCUGAGGCACGAAGGCCAGGGGAGCAAACGGG